GUAAGUCGACAAGUGAGUGAGGAAUACAAAUGACAAUGAAGAAAAUAACACUAGCUUUUCUUCUUCUAACUCUACUUCAUAUAUUUCUAUGUCUAUCUUUUCAGGUUUCUGUCACAGAGGCUCGAUUCCGUCACCUAGGUGAGGAACGAAUGGGCGCAAAGCCCUCCAUACCAUGUGGAGCUGCUCCUCUGGCAAGGCGUCAUGCUGCGCUUACAGGGAUAUAUAAAUGGGCUUGUAAAAGAGUUCCAAGAAGACCUCCUCUCGUGUAGGUUCGCGAUUAAUAUGAAAUAUCAUAGUCACGUUCAACCCCCUCAUCGACACCAGCCUUCCACUCGCAAGACACUUACCUUUCACUAUGGUUUGCUAAGAUUCAGCAAUUCUAGCUCCAUUUUUACCUUCCUCUUUUUCUUUGUUUUCUUUUUUUUUUACACCGUUUUUACCUUACUCCUCUCCUCUACUCUACUCUAUUACUUAAAGUGCUCCAUGUAAAAUGGGUGUUUGUUCUCACCAUCCUCUACCACUAUAAAUCUGUAUUUGCUUGGAUUAUCAUAUUUGACUUUUGCACGAGUAUUCUUGUUUGAUAUAAUAUGGUUUUCUCUUUAA
This is a long non-coding RNA of Camelina sativa (false flax), 603 nucleotides long. RefSeq lists it as uncharacterized. NCBI's taxonomy places the organism in Eukaryota, Viridiplantae, Streptophyta, Magnoliopsida, Brassicales, Brassicaceae. The record is from RefSeq and is a predicted model, not a curated record.